UGUGUGCGCGUGUGUGCGCGUGCGUAUGUGUGCAUGUGUAUGUGUGUGCAGAUAUUUUGCUUUUUGCUAAGUUUUUUUAUUUCAGUUGUUAGAUGUUUUUACAAGAAGUAGGCUUUUCUGAUUUGUUCUGCUGCCUGCCUUUGGAAAGACUGGACAGCAUUGCAUUCCCCUCUUUGCAAAGAGUUCUUCAGGCUGUCGUGUCGUAUGUCCUGUGUAUUUGAUGUUCCUGCAGGAAAGCAUGCUAGUUUGCAAGCUCGAACUGCAAGCAGGGUGCUGUGUAUUUAAGACCCCCCCCCCAACACUUUUUGAAGAGGUUGCAACUUUCACUUUGUCACAUUUUGGGGUGGGGGGAGAAGGAAGUCAUCGACUCAGUCAGGUAACCAGCUCUCAAAUUAAAUUUUAAUUGCAAAAAGUCAAAGUCAGCAGCAUUAAAGCUUAAGGAGGAUGGGAGCUGACAUUUCUUGCAUAGAGAAUUUGCUACCACUGGGAAUAGACUGAAAGCCCAUAGCGGGGGCAGGGGGGAGCAGGCUAAAUAAUAAGAAAGUAAAUGAUGAGACAAAAUACUAAUUAAAGUGAUGCAAGAAAGUGAGAGGCUGUUACAAGCUCUAACCACCUGUAGAGGGAAAUCUUUAUACACAGUAAUUUCUGAUAGCUGAUCUAUAGAGAAACUGAAGAGAAUUAUAUGUUCCAAACUUUGCUGCUCUGCAAUGUGCAACCUGAGAUGCCAAGCUGCUCGGUUAAUUCUUGGGGGCUUCCAAACUGCAGAGCCUGUUAGAUUGGGAGAAACAGUUUAGCAGCUACUGAGUCUUAGUCUCCACCUUGGCUGCAGCCAUCUGUGGUGCAUGUCCUGGUUCUCUUUAACGCUGCUGCACUUGACGUGGUUAUCAACAGAUGUCUUGCCUGAGAAGAGUGGGUUUGAUUUAUUGUUAAUUUCAAGCAGGUUUCUUAAUUGGGAAAAGUUGGAUGGUCUUCGCUGUCUGAGGGGAAGGUUUCCAAAGCAGCUGGGGUGGGGACCGAGUCCUCUAACCAAUGGAAAGCCUUGUCCCCUCAAAGAACCCUGCUCAGCUUCUGUGUAACCAGAAGAGUAAUAGCUAACGCCAUGUGGUAACUGACACAGGGCAAAAUGUGAAUAAUGUGCCACACCUUGUGCAGUGCCUCUUCUGCUGAGGAACCUCAGGGCACUCAGAGGAGCGAUGAAGAAGUCCAGCCUCAGCGGGGAACUACCAUGCAACUGAAGGGUGAUGGCCAAAUCCCUCAGAAGUGUGAGGUGGCACUGGAAGUCAAAGCCAUGGCAGGUGGCAGGUUGUACAGAAAGUAAAAAAUGAGGUGGUUUAGAGGCAGCAUUUUCUCUUCUCACUUGUUCAUACACUAUUUUCACCCAUUAUCAUGAAGUGCAGGUCUGUCAGGAAUGGGCUGGGGGUUAUUAUACGAAGCCCUUUCCUCUUAAUUCUCCUGUCUACAGCACCAUCAGUCCACCUCCCCUGCAGAAAUAUGGAGAUCUUAAGAUAGUUCAGCCUUGAAUCACCUCUACUGCCAUCUAUUUGCCCCUCAUCUGUCAUUUGCCUAUCCGAUUGAGAAAAGUCAGAAAUCCUGUGGUUUAUUGCUGUGAAUCCUGAUGCAUACGUCAUUGAGGUCAUCUGAUUAGCGAGAACUGCAGGAGCUGAAACACCACAGGGAAAUGCCACUCUCUUCUUUCCUCUGCAUAGCUUUACAACAGCUGGAGUCCAUCAUCUGGGGGUGCUGGUUUAGAUCCAGCCUGUGCCCUCAUAAUAUGCAUUAGUGCCUCUGAUUUCUGGUUCAACAACCACAUACCAUCUGCCAAAAGAGCAAGUUGUUCACAACCCUCAUUUUCUCAGGUUUGGGCUUCAUCUGUUUUCUUUCCUCUCUUCCUCACCCCACUCUCAAAUCUUUGACUGAUCUGGAUAUUUGAGUGUUUUGAAAUGUCACCAGGUUCGAACAGCUUCAGGAGAUCCUUGCUUGCUGCUUCAAGGAAACAGUCUGUGACAGGAUGACUCUGUUUUCUUUAACUCCUUUCACUUCCCCUUCUCUGGGAACUUCUGAGGUCCUACACAUCGUCUUCUCAGUGCAAACUCUCUUUAACCCAGAUACUCUCACAUCCACUUCACCUAUGAGUCACUGCACUUUCUAGCCUACAAUUACAUUUGCAUAUUUUGUGCAAUAGGGGGAAUUCUCCAGCUUGCACACAGCUCAUCUACCUUCCUGCAGCAUUCCAGAUGCUGUGUCUUUUCAUGUCACUUUUAGAAGGAUUCUCUGUAUUGGAACAGCUACCUCUUUUUCCGCCAUGUCCUUUCUCUCUACGUCCAUCUCCUCCUGGUCCAGCAAUGAAUGGGACAACACCAACAAAAGAUCUUCCCCUGAAAGUGCUUAUCUAGGUUUAGAUGCUUGUGCUGAAUGAUAUGCCUUAUUAAAGUUUAUCCUGCUUUGUAUGUUCUUCUGCUACUCUUGAUUUUCUUACAUCAAACUAUGUCCUGUGAUGCCGCUUACCUCAGGGAGGCUGCAUAAACUAAUUCUAAAAUGAAGUUUUCAUUCAAGAUAGUGGUAACGUAUGCCACCAUGCAACAUAUUAAGAGUGGCAGGUGGACAGCCAUGUAGAUGAAAACGUAGCAUUUCUUCUCAUAGUACCUCUCCAGAUUGUCCUAACAGUAAUUGCAUAGUACUAUCUAGAUACAAUCUUCAUAGUAAAUGAGCAGUUAAACUUGCACUUUCUUAGAAAAACCUUCAGAGAGGGAACCCCACACUACCUUACAUAGUCUAGAAAUAAGCAAGACUCAUCCUUCUACUCAACUAUGUAUGUGGUAGGAGGACUGGACAAAAAUCAGUGUUGGUAAGGUAGAACUAUAUUUCUUUCAUCAAGUAUCUUAUGCUAUUUUAUGACCAUUGAUUAAUCAGGUUUCAUUUGUGCUAAAUAUUGUACUUUAUGAGUGGAUGUAUGGAAGAACAAAACAUUUUAUCGCUUGGACUCACCUUUGGAUUAUAAAAAAAGGAAGAAGAGGGCACAAGUCCACAAACUAUCUGGCAGAAGUAUUGCCCUCUUCCAGUUUCAUUGCAGACCUCUCUGAAAGACACUUCAUUGACACUCAUGUGCAGUCUCACUUCUAGGUUAGUUCACCUCUACUUUCUCAUUUGAAAAACUGAUAUCAAGCCAAAAUGAGGGGCCCCACUCAUCCACAUAUUCCAUGGAGUAUUUUUGUUACUCUAUGAUGUUUUUCCCCUUUGUCACAGAGGCACCCCUUGAAACAACAGGGUCACAAAUCAGAUUUUAAUAUUGUCUCAUGUCUGAUAUCUGCUUUAUUGCAAUGCAUUCUUGCAGAUUCUUGGUGUAUAGAAGAUUCCGUUUCUUCCGCUUUUCACUUCUAGUCACUGGCUUCCCAUUGACUUCCACAGUGAGAUCGAGUGUGAGGUCUUGCAUCUUGCUCUUGCCACUUGUGACUUACCAAUCCUCUUUGUUCUACCCAAGAUCUCCUUCCUAUUGACUUGUGUCUGUCCCUUACUGUGGUAUUACCAAAAUGAGCUGCAUAACUGGAAUACCUUUCUGCAAAUACCACUUUAAAUUUUUCCAUGUCUCUUCCAAAAUACAAAACCAUGCAACCACACAAGUAAUUUUCCUCUGUUCCUCUAUGGGAUUCUGUCUUUGUUCUGUGCCCUUCCAUUUGGAUUGUAACCUCAUGGGGCAGGUACUAUAUCUUGUUCAUUAUUUUGUACCCACCACACCAAGGGUGGUUAGGUAAAAAUGACACAAUCCGUCAUUAUUUUUAUUUUUCUUACCCCUGAGUAAGGAUCAGCUUUAUUUUAAUGCCCCAACCUUCGUUUUUGGUUGUUGGCUCCUGGCUAAAAUGUGCCAUGUGUUUACUUUUUGAUUCUGUGUUUGCACAGCAUCCAGCAGAAUGGGAUCUUAAUCUGUGAUUGCCAAUAUAUAAUAACAAGGCUCAUGUUUGAAAGUUUAACUUGUGACAUAUGUUGCUAAUGUAAGGAGCAAUCAACUGAUACAAUAUUAAAGUAAAAAAAUCAACAUGUUUCUAAAUGUAGCUCAGUACUCAUUGUCAGUCUUGAACAACAACUCAGGAUAGCUUUUAUAUGCAAACCUUGAACUACUCAGAAAAUCCUUACAUGGAAUCUAAUUCAGACUUUGUAUAUCUGUUCAUGUAGUCCUACAAUAAUUGCAAUUAUUGCAAAAACAGCACCAAAAUUAUGAUCUAUGAGGGACUUGCAAAAGUAUAUGUGUUUCAUCAGCUGGCUCUGCAGCAGGCAUUUAUAGCAAUCUGUUAACAGCCUGCACUUCUCUGUUGCUCAUCCAUGCAUCUCCAGAUAUUCUACUAAUACUCAAUAAGUUAUGUAUGAUACUCACUUCCAUCCAGUUCACAUGAUGAGCUGGGUAAGUACUAAUGCACAUCUCCUGACAUUAAGAUAAUGUAAAUGUAGCCACACCAAAGAACAGAAACACAGCUGCUACCCAUCCUUUGCUUUGGUGGGUCCAGUGAAGAGGGGACAAAAUGGAGAAAACUGCUGUGGUUCCAUUACACACCUCUGGUUGUUCCUUGGCUGAUGAUAGUGAUGGGAUCAGGUGUACACAAUUCAGUGGUGUUUCCAAAUACUAUCUUAAGGGCCUAUACUCUUCUGAGUAUUGAAGUGUGUCCUUUUUCCUGUAGUCAUUCAUUUGGUAAAGUAAAAGGACAUGAACUAUCGUAACUUUUUAUAGAAAAGAUUCAGCAGCUGGGAAAAUAAAAACCAUUGCUGCUUGGCCAGCUGGUCCUCCUGGGACUUCCACAAGUUCUCUACACACUGAGGGUUUGCCAGUCACAGUCAGGGAACCAGUGGCUUAAUUUGUAAACUCUGCAUAGCAAAGACAGCUUGGAUCCAAGCAGAAACAGCUUGCAUCUUGGUGCCAUUUAUAGGGUUGAACUUGCUAUUAGCACGCAGUGCAUAAAUGUUAACUGGUGAUAAAAAUAGAUGUUCAGACAAAAAGUCAUACAUGAUCUAGAUCUUGUGCUUCAUUCAUGUUUUAAUUUUCCCUGAUGUUAUUGGAAACCACUUUGCCAGAUGUUUCUGCCCUACUGAAUGUGGAUUUCUGGACGUUUUAGCUCUAGCUAGAUAGGAACACCAGAACUACUGAAUGGUGUGAAUUUGAGAUAUAUUUACCCACAAAGGUAAGUAGAGAAGUGACUGGUAAAAUUGCCAUCCUAUCCUGGUUUGACUAUCCAUUGGAUUUUCUGGCUCAGUAGCCAUUUCGUGUUGUAAUUUUUGGGAGCUUGACUGAACUGCAUCAUAGGGAAGAACAAAUCAGAGGCAACAAACUAGGGAAGAACAGUGUUACAGGAGCAUCAGGGUAAGAGCUCAUAAGGCCAUGUCCUCAUAACCCUAGGCAUCUCACCUUGUCGUUCACCUCAUCAUCUAUGAAAUGCAGCUAAAUGAAUGUAUUUUCUUUUUCCACUGCACUGUCUUCUUCCUUGAAAGAACUUGAUUUUUUUUUUAAUUUGAUUGGAUCCUUCGGCUUCAUGUUUUAUUGUCUCAAUAAAUAAAUUCUUCCUAAAUUACUUUAGUAUCACCCCACUUCAUAUCCCAUUCUCUCCCACUGGUUAUGAUACUGACCAGCUUGAGGUAAAGACUGACACAGAUUUUGGCACUUCCUCAUCACUGCCUUCUCUUUUUUCUACCAGCACAAGAUCCUGUAUAAUGCACCUCAAAGUGUUGUCUUAUCCUUUUGUUCUUGUUUAUUACUCUUUCUUUAGGGUGGCUGCCAGAUUUGAGUGCACAUUAUGUUAAAGGUCAUGGGUCUUAUUAAUGAAAUUUCUAAUGAAAAUCAAAUCUUAGUGUAAAGGCUCAUCAAAUUCGUAGCAGGAUUCUUCAAAGAUUAUGUUCCAUGUGUCUGAAGUAUGAUGCCAUGCCUAUUCACUGUAUUUCUUCCAUAGGUUCAACUUUAUUCAAAACUGGUAUGAUUUUCUAUCCUCAACAUCUUAGUACUCUUUUCUACCAGCUUCAUUAUGCUAAUGGUUUUCUUCUUUUCACCCCUGUUACACAGAAGUAUGUCUCUAGGGUCUGAUUUUGCAGCCAUUGGAGGAAGAUCCAGUUUCUAUCAUUUUGCAUGUUAUAGCCAUGAUAUAUCUCUAUAAUGUAAACAGAAAAGCUGAAGAUAACAAAGUGACCGAGGUAUACUGGCAUUUCAACCCAAAACUGUUCAAAGUAUUUGUUAAUGCAAUCUGUGUGAGAUGACAUUAGCACAUGAGUUAUCUAUUUUAUUGGUUUCCUGGUCUGUGCAUCCAGAUUCUCCAAAAAUUUCAUAAAUUGAAGUCUUAAUAUGUCCUUGAUCUUCCGACACAGGUGAGAUUUUCUUUACUAAAAUACUGCACAGUCUCUCAUUCUGACGUUGGAGGAAAAGCACUUUUUUCUUCCUUAUGCUUCCUUGUAUGCUCUGAUCUCUCUGAUUAUUUAUAAUAUUGCUGUCUUCUUACUGAUGACUUUUAUUGAUUAUCUCAGUGCUAUAGAUAUCUUCAAGAACAUGCUGGUUAGGUAAGUAGGCAUCGUCUUAUCUUCAUUUCAUGGGUGGAUAAACCAAGCAUAAAGUGAUGGGCACUUCACCUGAAAUUUGAGGAGAACCUCAAAAAUAUUAAAAGAAAAAGCCUUUCCAUGAGAAAUUUCAGAUCAACACUUGUUGCAGCAAAUUUGUGAUUAGGAAAGGAAUACCUAGAUCCUAAUCUCCUGCUUAACUAGCAAUUACUCUUCUUCAGGUCCUUUCACUAGUUUAUACUUUGCCACCAAUAGGCAGUAGUUGAAUAUAUGUUGUUCUAACUUAUUUCCAUUUCAAUGUAAUUACUCUUUUCUCUGGGUACUAUAUUGUGCUGUAAUAAGAGUUAACUAGUAUAAGUUAUUGAUUGCCCUGAUACAAGGUGAUUUAUAUUCAAAAAGCUGAGUUUUUUUGUGAGCUCCUGUUAUAUCUUGGUAGCACUUCACUCUGUUUCUGGUCUUCUACUCUCCUUAUAUUUAGAACAUAUCACGUGUCAUUCAGGUGUCCAGGUGAACUUGCCCAGGCCAAGAGCAGACUCUGUGGGAGUAAUACUGGGUUAGGAGAAUAUGUUAUAGUGAUUAUACUAGUGAAUCAAUCCCUGGCUCUCAGGUCAGCAGAACUCCAAAGCUCUGAGGAGGUAACUCUCAAAACACAACAAAAUGUUGUUCGCUAUUUUCCCCUUGUUUUCUGGUGCUCUCUCCAGCUGAUCCUUACAUCUUCCAAAAUGAGAAAGAGAUGGAGCCUUGAACUUGCUGGAUCAAAACCCCAAAUAAGUAAUGAAUGCCACUAAAAUAGUUUUUUCUCGAAAACUAAACUACUUGGUGUCAGAUCAUAGUUGUUUUGAGCGGCAAUUUUGGGCAGGCUAAUACUUUGCUUCUUCUGCAGGCUAAUACUUCUUGUAGUAGUAUCCCAAUGUGUGCCAUUGUCUGUCAGGGCAAAGUCUGGAAGGGAAAUUGCCAAGAGUGAGGACAGUCAAGUUUGCAGACUGUAUUUGUUAGAGAUUGGGCUACCCCCUUUGGCAUCUCCAGCAGGUCUAAGAGAAGGGCUGUGUACCUGCAGCUGGUGGGCACUCUGCUGCUUCAGGCAGUACCAGCAGUUUUACUUUUCAGUGGAGGAAAAAAUACAGGAUCGAUGGCUUUCAUUAAGACUUCGUUGGUCAAGAGGCUUAAUUGUUUGGCAACAAGGAGAAUGCUGAUAACUAAAAUAUCAGGAUAGAAGAAGAAUUUUCCUUUUAGUACUUCUAAUGAUCAGGAGAAGUGGGAACUGCUGUUUGGUACAUGAUUGCCUGCCAAACAGUCUUUCCAGUUUGGAUGGUUUCCAUUUUUUUUUUUUUUUUUUUAAGGCAGAGAUUCCCUGGGCACUGGACUUUGCUUCCACCAAGCCUUUAGCAGCAGACAGACAAGACAGGAGAUGGUUCUGCUGAGAUGAAGAUGACACGUUUGGGUGGAGAAGCAGAGGAGGGCAAAGGAGAGGCAGGCUGCUUGUGUGAAAUCGAGGCAGAAAGAUGGUUCUACAGCUCCCAAAAGAACAUGUCAAACCCUUUGGUAGACAGAUUUCAUUCUUUCACUAAGAUGGGAGAGUUGUGGAGGUGCAGGGCUGUGGAAUGUUGGACUGCAAGGAGCUGCUCAGAAUGGGAAGUGGGGACGUAGUUCCAGGCAUCUGCCUGGCUGGGGAGGGCCUGACGUCCAGGAGCUGCAGAGGAAGCCUGUAUGCCUGCUCCCAACCUGCCACCAAGAUCAUCCUUUGUACAUAGCCAUGUUGAUACCCUUUCUUUGUGAUAGAGAGGAGCUAAAGCUAAACAGUUUUCCUCUGUUCACAUGCGCAGAAGUGAAGACUGUAGGAAAAUGCAAAGCUCUUAGAGAAUGUAGUGGAGGGAAGAGAGUAGGUGGUCAUCCCCUCUUGCCACAGUAGACCAUGGGUUGUCUGAAUGCUCUUGGGUCUGAGUGGCAGAAGAUUGUUUAGGUGUGCACACCUGCACACUUCUGUGUGGCCUAAUUUUUUUAUUCAUCCAGGAUGAGCUUUGUUGCAGCUCCUCAGAUAUAGUAUGUUUCAUGGCUGGCUCUUUGUCUGGGGUCUUGAGGUGAUAAGAUCUCUUUGGUAUAAGGAUUUUCCCUACCGUGGUAUUUCUUUGUGUCCUUCUGGCUUCUGGUCUACUACUGCUGUAAAGGCCAGCUUUCCAAGUGUAUAUGGUGAAAACACAGUUUAAGCUGGGUCCUUCUUCCAGAACUGAAGUCCAGCAUGGGAAGAUGGGUUCAUACUGGCAUGUGUGGAGACGUGCGAAUGACAAUGCAUCCGGUUGCUUCUCCCAGAGAGUGCAUGUAGUCAUUUUAAAUGCCUAAUCUAUCUCCCCAAGCCUGGAGGUGCAUAUGAUGUGAUCUCAUAUAGGUACCUGAUGGCCUCUUGCUGGGUGCUACUGUAUCAGUAGCAGUAGUUGGCAAUGGCGUUGUCUGGCUAGGGGAGAGAGAGAGAGAGAGAGAGAGCAGGAAAACCAGCCUUACCUCAUUGAUUGCAGUUUAUUGACAUUAGGAAAUUCAUUGUCUGCAAAAGAAGUUGGUAAUAAUUGAGUGAGUUAAUAAAUAAGGAAUGUGUGUGUACAUAUUAGACAGUAAAUAACUUACUGGCUUCUUGAUUGCCCCAGCAUUUUGUUUCACUCUUCAUACAACAUGUGAAGUGGGCUGAUGGUGGGCAGAGCGUAGUAGGGGAUGUAUCAUACUCACCUGGGGAGGAGACGGUCCCCACAAACCUUGGCUUUUCCUAGGGUGCUGGUGUGUGUGUCUGAGCCUGUUCCCAGGGGCGAGGAGGUUGUUUAAUGCUUGUAGUGCCAUUUUCCAACAAAAGAGAGAUGUGUUUAAAAAUAGCAACAGCCCUUUGCGUUUGACUAUUUUUUUAGGCAUUUUAAGAAAGAGCUGUGGCCCUUUGUCUGGGAGAUGAGGAAGAUGACCUGCUCUUCAAGGUCCUAGUUAGCUCCUCUGGGACAGUGGAAGGGCUCCUGUUGGUCCCCCUUCUCUUCCUGGAUGCGUGUGUUAAUUGUCCCCUCUUCACACACUUCGUGGUUCGUUUCAGAGAUGUGUUUUGCUUAAUGGGAGCUGGGAAAAGUGUGGUGCAUAAAGGAAAUACCUCCCUUGGCCAGAUAAACCCCGCAUUUGUCAGCAAGACAAUUCUCUUUUGUCUGGUUGCCAUUGAUGCCUGGGUUUGGGGCAGGGGGCUCAGGGGUGCCAGUGUGUGUCUGUGUGUACCACUGUGAAAACCCAGGUUUAGCCAUUUGCGUACAGACUACAGCAGCAUUAUAAUUUUUAAUUGCACUUUCAUUUGUUAUUCUCUCCCUUUCCCCCACCCCUCUCUCUGUAUAAUCUGGAUCAUUGCUCUCUGUAGCUGAUUCCGUGGGAGACCAAGCAGAGUGCGUGGGUGCAGAAUAUAGAAAGCCAGAGCCAUAGAAUCUGUUAUUUGCGUCAUUCUAGGAGACGGGGCUGUUUGCCUGACAAAUAUACAGAAUUAAUCCUGGUUUUAUCAAUAUCUGUCUUUUGCUACAGUAGCCAAAUACAAGUGUAAGGUGGCAGGGGGACUAGCUGCUGCUGCUGUUGUUGGUCAGAUUGGGGGGGAACAAGGGGGGUGAGAGGGGGAGAGAGGAAUAAAGGACGUUAAAUAUAUUCAGCUACCCCCAUGCUGUUUGCCUUACAAAUAUUAAAAAAACGGAGAUUUUUAUCCAAAUUGCUAACCACGAGAAGGGGCGGGGGCGGGGGGGGGAUUUUCUUGCAAGGUCUGGCUAUGCAGAUUGCUCUCCCUGGCUGUAUUUCUGCAUAGGAUAUGUGUGUGUUUUUUAAGAAAUAUCUCCCUGUCCCCAGUGCAUAUUGUCCCCGUCCUGUUCCCCCCCCCCUUCCCCCCUUGCUUACAAACACACAUAUGCACAACCCUCUGGAUUUUUGUGCAACUGUACGGAGAGCUGCACAACACAAAAUAUAGAGUUUGCUAAUUAACUCCUUUCCUCGAAUUGAGGUGCCUUACUGCAAGCACAAAGCUCCAAGCACAGACAUCUUUUAUGAUGAACUAGAGCCUCUGAAGAGGAGAAUCUGAACGUGACGUCAAUAGCUGAUAACUGACGCAGCCGUGCAAAGGAGUCUCAGGCUGGCUCCUUGCAGCCUGCAAGCCCUAAUGAUUCUAUUUUUUACCCAGUCCCCCCUCGUAGUGAAUUACUAGAACGCAAACACACACACACCUUUUUUUUUCAUAUAUAUAUUUAUAGAUACUUUAUUCUCCAAACAAAUGAUUUUUAAGGGGGAAAGGCACUGGGCAUGGAGGAGAGAAUUAAAUAUAUACAUACAGAUAUAUAUAAAAAGAAACAACCCUUCUUUGUGCUGCGUGCAAUUCACUAUAUGAAACCAUCUCUAUCUCUCGGCAAAGCAAGCAUCCCUGUUUGAAAUCCCCAUUUGUGCAUGAUGGCAAACUGAUGCAUGGUGAUUGUUGUGUUUUUUCCAAAGCCUACUUUCUAAAGACACUACAAGAAGACAGACACAAUAAUGCUUGCAAGGCAACAGGCAGAGAGACAGACUCAAUACAACUGUGGAUUAGGGGUUCGUGCAAUAGGACAGCAUGGAAGGCGGUGCGGCCGCGCCGUCCAGGCCGGAGGCGACGCGGGAGCAGCGAAGGCCGCAGGCAGGGAGCGUGGCACAGCCCAUGUUCCGGACAGAAGGACGGCCGUCCAAGGGAAGCGAGCAUCACUCCUCAGCCUGCUGCUGUCUAGCUCGCUUGCACCUGUAAGCUCUCUGGAGCAGGGAUGAUCAGCUCUUUUGUGGUUAUUCAGUGUUUGGUUUGGCCACCUUCCAUGCGAUGGAGCAAUGUAGCUGAGUUGCAGGUUGACUUAAGAUUGCAUCACCACCCUGAACCAGAUUGCAUCUGCAGUCAUCUGGAACUGACUACAUGCUCGAACUGAUAAAAGAUGCUGUGGGAAUGUGAAACUCUGGGACCUUGGCAAGAUGCUUUUGUCAUAUCCUGUCUCUUUAUUGCCUGGUCCGCUGGAAGACAAAAGAGUGAGAAUCAGCGCCCUGUUAUUAUCCUGCAAACAGCGUGAGAAGUGCUUUGAGGGCCAAUAGAAGAAAAUAGUGCGUUGUGGCCACAGCAAGUGCAUGCUUUUUCUAACAAUGUAGAGUUGCACUCCUCCAAGGAGGAGUGGUGCUUGAACCUCCUUCUGAUUACCUGUGUUCUUUUCUCUUACUGUAACAGCAUUGUUUCUUUCCAACACACACAUCUUCACGCAGAAAUGCCAAGAUUGUCCAUGCAGAUUAAAGUAUGCUUACAAAUUAAGGAAUAGCUGGUAUGGAACGAAAGGAAAAUUAAAUUGUCCCAGCAGUUUUGUUUUGCACUUCCUGUAAUAAAGUCCUGUCUGUGGCAGGUGUUUUGCAGGAUACACACUCCAUGAGGCCUAUGCGAAUUUUCCUUAUGUAAAGACUUCAGGAACUAGCCCUAGGUAAUCACACUGUUAGGUCGCUCUUGAGAAGAAGCAGAAAGAAAACCUGGUGAGAGUUUGAUCCUCUGUGUGUCACCUUUCACAAUUGAGUGACUGACAAACGAAAAAAAGGUGAGCUAAAUCACCCUGAGAAUGGGUGCCUCCUGUUGUGGAUUAGAAUGAAAUCCAGUUAUAUGCUCCCUCCCAUUAUAUCUGAUACAACUUCUGUAUCAUAAAGAUUAACAUCUAACUGUAAACCUGUAGGUGAGCCAAUAAGAUGACUUGACAAAUUUUUCAUUGCAAGGUGUAUGACAGUUUCAUGCCUUGAAUGAGCAUCACCACAGACAGUGUAUUGUUGAAUGCAAGUUCGAAUCCCACUAUGAAUUUGUUUUGCACAGUAGAUUAUGAACAGAGACCUUUGAUUUCUAUUAAUUAUGGAUCUUUGAGUGAAAAGCUAUUGUGUAUAUAUUUACAUUUAAUAACAGGAAAUGUAACAUUUAUUAAAGUAAUAAAACAGAUAAACCUAUGAAA
RNA transcript from Columba livia (rock pigeon), 12491 nucleotides. RefSeq lists it as uncharacterized. The transcript has 6 exons. The record is from RefSeq and is a predicted model, not a curated record. NCBI's taxonomy places the organism in Eukaryota, Metazoa, Chordata, Aves, Columbiformes, Columbidae.